Molecule: ribosomal RNA, 795 nt
Filed under: uncultured bacterium
Lineage: Bacteria
Description: bacterial SSU rRNA
Rfam family: Bacterial small subunit ribosomal RNA
Source: RNAcentral
AGAGUUUGAUCCUGGCUCAGAUUGAACGCUGGCGGAAUGCUUUACACAUGCAAGUCGAACGGCAGCACGGGUGCUUGCACCUGGUGGCGAGUGGCGAACGGGUGAGUAAUGCGUCGGAACGUGCCGAGUAAUGGGGGAUAACGCAGCGAAAGCUGUGCUAAUACCGCAUACGCCCUGAGGGGGAAAGUGGGGGAUCGCAAGACCUCACGUUAUUCGAGCGGCCGACGUCUGAUUAGCUAGUUGGUGGGGUAAAGGCCUACCAAGGCGACGAUCAGUAGCGGGUCUGAGAGGAUGAUCCGCCACACUGGGACUGAGACGCGGCCCAGACUCCUACGGGAGGCAGCAGUGGGGAAUUUUGGACAAUGGGGGCAACCCUGAUCCAGCCAUUCCGCGUGAGUGAAGAAGGCCUUCGGGUUGUAAAGCUCUUUCAGCCGGAACGAAACGGUAGAGGCUAAUACUCUCUGCUAAUGACGGUACCGGCAGAAGAAGCACCGGCUAACUACGUGCCAGCAGCCGCGGUAAUACGUAGGGUGCGAGCGUUAAUCGGAAUUACUGGGCGUAAAGCGUGCGCAGGCGGAUUGUUAAGCAAGAUGUGAAAGCCCCGGGCUUAACCUGGGAAUGGCAUUUUGAACUGGCAGUCUAGAGUGCGUCAGAGGGGGGUGGAAUUCCACGUGUAGCAGUGAAAUGCGUAGAGAUGUGGAGGAACACCGAUGGCGAAGGCAGCCCCCUGGGAUGACACUGACGCUCAUGUACGAAAGCGUGGGUAGCAAACAGGAUUAGAUACCCUAGUAGUCC